Long non-coding RNA from Oncorhynchus keta (chum salmon), 2756 nucleotides. RefSeq lists it as uncharacterized. NCBI's taxonomy places the organism in Eukaryota, Metazoa, Chordata, Actinopteri, Salmoniformes, Salmonidae. The transcript has 2 exons. The record is from RefSeq and is a predicted model, not a curated record.
CAUAAAGAAAAGCUGUGGGAUUGUCAAUGGGCUGCCUGCCUGUCAUAUUUAACAUCAAAGUGUCCAUACAGAGUUACUGUAUCAUCUUUCUGUGCUAUUGUUACCACAGUUACUCUCUCCUCUCUCCACUUCGCCCUCUAGUGGAACACUCAAUACACUGGAGGAGCUCCUCAAACAGAUGGGAAAAUAGCAAUGCAAGAUUGACCGAAAGAUGCAGGGACCAACAUCCAGCAGCAUUUGGAUGGCAUCACCGGACGUCAACAGCCCUAUAUGCUUGCCGUGGGGCCCUAGAGAACGAGGAUUCAUGCCUACUUCCUCAUGAUCGACAAACAUACGGCACCUUCUAAGGCAUCUGGCUCACUGGGCUGUUUUAAUUUGUUUUUCAAAGCUCACUUUGUAUUCGGUACCUCAUACAGUCAGAGUCUGGCAAACAUGUACACUGUUCUACAAAUGACAAUCUACGACAUUGACGUUGAAACAACUAAGGUGAAUCCAGGGUAGCAGAGCUGAGGGCCAGAAUGUUGCAUUAAACAGAUCUGUUUGGAAAAUGGAAAAUCCUAUCAGUGUAUUGAAUUCUGAAACCAAAAGGUUUAAAUAUUUCUCAGAGAAGUGGGAACUUGUGGAUCCAGUUGAAUAUGUUCUUGGCACAAGAUUUGACAUGCAGCGCAAUAGAACCACUGUAACAUAAAACCAGGUUAUUGUUACAGAUGAAUGUAUGUACAUACCCAUUUUGCUGACGUUAGAGUCUUUAUAAAAAUGCACACAUAAACUAAAUGUUCCAGCCUGUGGAUGGUCCCAGAGAAAGACUUAAAUGAUGGAACGUUCAUUGGGAAUAAUGCUCUAUUCUCAAAAGAGAAAUGUGCAAAACAAGCUCAGCUCCUCUCUGACGACUUUGAAACUCUUAGAUGUGAUGGGUGUUCAAAAAUGUAAUUAAUUACAGUACGUUCAUGCAAGUCAGAAUGUUUCAGUUGAUAUCAUGCAUGACAUCUUGGAGGGUGUUGGGCACGAGUUUAAAUUGCUACUACAGCACUUGCAAAACGAGCAUUUAACCUAAAAAGAAAUGGACAUGAGAAUAUCGAGCUUCAACUAAUGGUUCCUGGAAAGAAACAACAGACCCCCUGCAGUGAAGUUACUUCAGGGUUAGAAUGAUUUGGCAUUAAAUGACAUUCAGUCUUGGUGUCUACUAUGCAAUCUAUCACUUAUCUUUGCUGACUUGGUGUCUCCAAAUGGAUCAACACUGAUAUUUGCUGUUUUUGUUGCUUCGAAUAGUCAACAUUGUUUUUUCUCUAGUGUUAUCAGAUGGUUUUACAGUCUAUGUGAAGCACUUGAUUGCCGAACACCACAGAUUGCUUAAGUAUUUGUUUCCUGGAAAUAGGUUGUUACCCAGGCAUAAUUUUAUGGUGCGUUAUCUGAGAUAUAUUAAUAAAAUCAGCCCAAUUCUCCAUAGCUGGUAUAUGCGCAACAAAGUAAAACACAAAAAUAAAAUGUGACUACAGAAAAGCUUUAAUACAUAACUAAAACAUUGGCCAAGAAACACCAAAGUCACAUGGCAUACAACUAGCAAACGUUUGACCUUGAUAGAUUGGAUAUUGAUCCAGGGGAAAUGGUGUCCUUCGUUGUAAUGGAAGGAGCUCAUGAGAUAGCAAACGCACUCCAGGUGUCUUCUUCCACUAAGGUUUUGAGUGUGAAAUGGGCCAAAAAUCAAGGGAAUGUUCCUGUGAGGGUGACCUAAUGUUACGUAGAGGUUGCACUGAGUGUACAAACAUUAGGUGAAAGCUAUGAUCCCUUAUUGAUCUCACCUGUUAAAUCCACAUCAAUCAGUGUAGACGAAGGGGAGGAGACAGGUUAAAAAAGGAAUUUUAAGCCUUGAGACAAUUGAGACAUGGAUUGUGUAUGUGUGGUAUUCAGAAAGUGAAUGGGAAAGACAAAAUAUUUAAGUGCCUUUGAAUGGGGCAUGGUAGUUGUUGCCAUGUGCACCGGUUUGAGUGUGUCAAGAACUGCAACGUUGCAGGGUUUUUCACCCUCAACAGUUUCCCAUGUGUAUCAAGAAUGGUCCAGCACCCAAAGGACAUCCAGCCUCCUUGACACAACUGUGGGAAACAUUGGAGUCAACAUGGGCCAGCAUCCCUAUGGAAUGCUUUCAACACCUUGUAUUCCAUGCCCCGACGAAUUGAGGCUAUUUCUGAGGGCAAUAUUAGGAAAGUGUUCCCAAUGUUUGGUGUACUCAGUGUAUACUGUUCAGACGUGGUUGUUUGUGUUAAAGUUCAUUGUGAGAUGCUAAUAUUUCAUGAAAUGCAAUCUAUUCUUGUGAAAGAUGACAACUUACUGCUGGUUACCUUUGCUUUAGAUGCGUUUAAAGAUGUAAAGACAAGAAAGGUGAUGAUUCAAGUUUGUUUGUGGUCCCGUACUGCUUCAUGCAAUGUUUUCCCCCACACUUGUACUUAGUACCAGAACAAUUGUACACAUUUGUACAUAUACCUACAGAUGUCAUGUAGAUAGAGUACGGAAUCAAAAUGCCAUGCCCCUGUGGGUAGAAAUUCCCCCACGGAGGCAAGGGGGUAUGGCCUUCAAUUUGUGCUGUCCUGAUUGCUUUUGGUAAUGUCUGUUAACGCUCUAGAAUGUAUUUUAUUGCAAAGAUUGUACACAAUAUAACUACUCUGGUCUGGAAUUCAUUUUGUUUCAAAGAUCAUACACCAUGCAAGUACUGUUUGGGCUGUUUUUGGCAUCUCAUGUAAUAAACCAAUCCUGUUAUACAA